CGCAGGAUGGAGCAGUUUGGUAGCUCGCCAGGCCCAUAACCUGGAGGUCGGUGGUUCAAAUCCAUCUCCUGCAACCA
Molecule: transfer RNA, 77 nt
Filed under: Bacillota bacterium
Lineage: Bacteria; Bacillati; Bacillota
Description: tRNA-Met
Rfam family: tRNA
About the family: Transfer RNA (tRNA) molecules are approximately 80 nucleotides in length.
Source: RNAcentral